RNAcentral lists this unclassified non-coding RNA (19 nucleotides) under Mus musculus (house mouse). RNAcentral's name for it is "oocyte_clustered_small_RNA5257". The record is from RNAcentral. Lineage: Eukaryota; Metazoa; Chordata; Mammalia; Rodentia; Muridae.
GGGUCGGGCCGGGCUGGCU